This 871-nucleotide long non-coding RNA is filed under the name Homo sapiens (human). Its description in RNAcentral is "HSALNT0265432". The record is from RNAcentral. Lineage: Eukaryota; Metazoa; Chordata; Mammalia; Primates; Hominidae.
CCUGUCUGGAAAUAACAAGUUGUUUGUUUUGCUUUAUAAUUUGAGAAACAGGCUACCAUUCCCUUCCCAUCAUGGAAAACAUUCUGCAAUGAUCUGUAUCAUCUUCCAAUCAUGGUAAUCACUGACUAACCUGUUUUCACCAGAGAGGUUUUUUAUCUAAUUGGAAGUUUGAGCCUGAAACUCAGAGAAGAUAAAUGGACAAUUUUGGUCUCACGUGUUUUGUUUAAUCACUCAUUUCUGCGUAAACACCAUUUCUUGAGAUCUGGUAUCUAGGUGGAUGAGUGGAAGGAACAAUCGACUGCUCAGACCACAGCCGAGAUUGCAGAGAUGGCACUUAACUGUGGACUAACACAAAGAGGAGCCCAUCAAAGGAGAGCAAGCAAGAUGAAAAAGAAACCAAAUGUCAGGCCACAUGAUGAAGAAUUGGGAACUGGGGAAACACUGGACUUGGGAAACAACAUUUAAGACAAAGGAGGACAGAAUAGCUAAGUGCAACUAUUUACGAAUCUAAUAAGUUCCACACUUUACUUCUUUUGACCCAAGAAAGAAUUGCUACUAGUGAACUGAAGUUGCAGAGAAAUACAUGCCACCUUAUGAUGAGGAAUACAACAAAAUCUAACAAUUGGAAGUAUCCAAGGAUGGUUUAGGAUGAUCUGGAGAGGGAAGUUGUAGGAUAGGUAUGUGUGACCAAAUUAUAUGACCUUAAUGUCCCAUAUAUCUUGAGAUUCUAUGAUUUAAAGAUGCCUUUAGUAUUUAAUCCAUGGCUUGACCCAAUCCAUAGUCAACUUUUUAAUCUAUAACAUUUUAAAAGAUAAGCAAAUAAAGCCAAGUUGGUUAGAUUCUCCCACCCAAAUCCAAGCCUAAACUUAUG